This is a long non-coding RNA of Pongo pygmaeus (Bornean orangutan), 1100 nucleotides long. RefSeq lists it as uncharacterized. The record is from RefSeq and is a predicted model, not a curated record. The transcript has 3 exons. Lineage: Eukaryota; Metazoa; Chordata; Mammalia; Primates; Hominidae.
AUAGUUCCUUCUCCCAUGCUGCAAAUUAUGAUCCUGCAUUCCUUAACAAGGCAAUGAUAUUCAGUGAAAACCCUGCCAACUUGCAGAAUCUGGUGUGGUCGAACAGUGACCUCCCUGGUCAUGGGUCAUCUGCUGCUGCUAUACUUAGGACGGCUGCUCCUCCAGGGUCUCAAUCUGUCACCCAGGCUGGUGUGCAGUGGUACAAUCAUGGCUUACUGUAGCCUCUGCCUGCUGGGUUCAAGUGAUCCUCCUGCCUCAGCCUCCUGAGCAGCUAGGACCACAGUUUCCUAGGUGUCCUUUAUUCAGAAACUAAGAGUGGGGCAAUAUAAGCUUCAUAAGGGCAAGGCCUUCAUCACUGAAACUCCAGCACCUACGACAGUGCCUGGCACCAGAUGGGCACAAAAUACUUGCAUGAAUGUAUAGAGAAAUGAAGUUCCUUCUUGUAUUUGAUUGUUUGGAUGUUCUUCUAUAGAGGUAAGCAGACCCUACUUGAUUGUAGUAUAUUUAUUUUUAAUGACAUAUCUUAUUUCUUGACAGCAAACGGCUGAAGGACAUAUCUUCUUAUUUGAAUCAUCUAACUGGUGUGUGUGAAACUUUGUCCAUCUUUCUUUGGAGGAAUGAUCUCUGAUAAAUAUUUUUAAAUAUUCAGCUCUGCUUUAUUACUGAACAGUAAUACAUCCUGGUAUGAAUGAGAAAUACAUCAUUUUUUUUUUUUGCAUAUCCAUCACCUCAAAUGUUUAUCAUUUAUUUGUGGUGAGAACAUCUAAAAUCCUCUCUUUUAGGCUGAGCACAGUGGUUCACAUUUGUAAUCCCAGCACUUUGGGAAGCUGAGGGGUGUGGACUGCUUGAGCCCAGGAGUUUGAGACCAGCCCGGGCAACAUAGAAAAAUCUUCUCUCUAUUGAAAAUAAUAAAAAUAAAAUUGGCCGGGUGUGGUGGCAUGUGCCUGUAGUCCCAGUUACUAAUGAGGCUAAGGUGGGAAGAUCACUUGAGCCCUAGAGGUCUAGGCUGCAGUGAGCCGUAAUCACGCCACUGCAUGGGCAAAUGAGACCCCAUCUCAAAAAAAACACAAGAAAACAAAAAAAACCAAAAAAACAAAAAA